RNAcentral lists this ribosomal RNA (557 nucleotides) under Micrococcus sp. Pd-S-(l)-m-N-1(3). RNAcentral describes it as "bacterial SSU rRNA". It matches the Rfam family "Bacterial small subunit ribosomal RNA", at positions 282 to 849 of the family's 1533-position model. Lineage: Bacteria; Bacillati; Actinomycetota; Actinomycetes; Micrococcales; Micrococcaceae. The record is from RNAcentral.
GGUAGCCGGCCUGAGAGGGUGACCGGCCACACUGGGACUGAGACACGGCCCAGACUCCUACGGGAGGCAGCAGUGGGGAAUAUUGCACAAUGGGCGAAAGCCUGAUGCAGCGACGCCGCGUGAGGGAUGACGGCCUUCGGGUUGUAAACCUCUUUCAGUAGGGAAGAAGCGAAAGUGACGGUACCUGCAGAAGAAGCACCGGCUAACUACGUGCCAGCAGCCGCGGUAAUACGUAGGGUGCGAGCGUUAUCCGGAAUUAUUGGGCGUAAAGAGCUCGUAGGCGGUUUGUCGCGUCUGUCGUGAAAGUCCGNGGCUUAACCCCGGAUCUGCGGUGGGUACGGGCAGACUAGAGUGCAGUAGGGGAGACUGGAAUUCCUGGUGUAGCGGUGGAAUGCGCAGAUAUCAGGAGGAACACCGAUGGCGAAGGCAGGUCUCUGGGCUGUAACUGACGCUGAGGAGCGAAAGCAUGGGGAGCGAACAGGAUUAGAUACCCUGGUAGUCCAUGCCGUAAACGUUGGGCACUAGGUGUGGGGACCAUUCCACGGUUUCCGCGCCGC